AUUGAACGCUGGCGGCAGGCUUAACACAUGCAAGUCGAACGAGUGGCGGACGGGUGAGUAAUGUUUGGGAAUCUAGCUCAUGGCGGGGGAUAACUACGGGAAACUGUAGCUAAUACCGCGUACCAUCGGUUGAGCCCAAGUGGGAUUAGCUAGUUGGUGGGGUAACGGCUCACCAGGCCGACGAUCACUAGCUGGCCUGAGAGGAUGACCAGCCACACUGGAACUGGGAAACGGUCCAGACUCCUAAGGGAGGCAGCAGUGGGGAAUAUUGCGCAAGGGGGGCAAGCCUGACGCAGCCAUGCCGCGGAGAUGAAGAAGGCCUUCGGGUUGUAAAGUACUUUCGGUAGGGAGGCGUUAACUACAGAAGAAGCACCGGCUAACUCCGUGCCAGCAGCCGCGGUAAUUC
Molecule: ribosomal RNA, 406 nt
Filed under: uncultured bacterium
Lineage: Bacteria
Description: partial 16S ribosomal RNA
Rfam family: Bacterial small subunit ribosomal RNA
Source: RNAcentral